RNAcentral lists this ribosomal RNA (450 nucleotides) under uncultured bacterium. Its description in RNAcentral is "partial 16S ribosomal RNA". It matches the Rfam family "Bacterial small subunit ribosomal RNA", at positions 354 to 796 of the family's 1533-position model. The record is from RNAcentral.
GUGGGGAAUUUUGGACAAUGGGGGCAACCCUGAUCCAGCCAUCCCGCGUGUGCGAUGAAGGCCUUCGGGUUGUAAAGCACUUUUGGCAGGGAAGAAAAGUUUCGGGCUAAUACCCUGGAGCGAUGACGGUACCUGCAGAAUAAGCACCGGCUAACUACGUGCCAGCAGCCGCGGUAAUACGUAGGGUGCAAGCGUUAAUCGGAAUUACUGGGCGUAAAGCGUGCGCAGGCGGUUCGGAAAGAAAGAUGUGAAAUCCCAGGGCUUAACCUUGGAACUGCAUUUUUAACUGUCGAACUCGAGUAUGUCAGAGGGGGGUAGAAUUCCACGUGUAGCAGUGAAAUGCGUAGAGAUGUGGAGGAAUACCGAUGGCGAAGGCAGCCCCCUGGGAUAAUACUGACGCUCAUGCACGAAAGCGUGGGGAGCAAACAGGAUUAGAUACCCUUGUAGUCC